AGUGGCGGACGGGUGAGUAACGCGUGAGAAUCUGCCUUGGGGUCGGGGACAACCACUGGAAACGGUGGCUAAUACCGGAUAAGCCGAUUGGUGAAAGAUUUAUUGCCCGAAGAGGAGCUCGCGUCUGAUUAGCUAGUUGGUGAGGUAAGAGCUCACCAAGGCAGCGAUCAGUAGCUGGUCUGAGAGGACGAUCAGCCACACUGGGACUGAGACACGGCCCAGACUCCUACGGGAGGCAGCAGUGGGGAAUUUUCCGCAAUGGGCGAAAGCCUGACGGAGCAAGACCGCGUGAGGGAGGAAGGCUCUUGGGUUGUAAACCUCUUUUCUCAGGGAAGAAGCUCUGACGGUACCUGAGGAAUCAGCCUCGGCUAACUCCGUGCCAGCAGCCGCGGUAAUACGGAGGAGGCAAGCGUUAUCCGGAAUUAUUGGGCGUAAAGCGUCCGCAGGUGGCGAUUCAAGUCUGCUGUCAAAGCACGGGGCUUAACUCCGUAAAGGCAGUGGAAACUGAAUAGCUAGAGUGCCGUAGGGGUAGAGGGAAUUCCCGGUGUAGCGGUGAAAUGCGUAGAGAUCGGGAAGAACAUCGGUGGCGAAAGCGCUCUACUGGACGGCAACUGACACUCAGGGACGAAAGCUAGGGGGGCGAAUGGGAUUAGAUACCCC
RNAcentral lists this ribosomal RNA (660 nucleotides) under uncultured bacterium. Its description in RNAcentral is "bacterial SSU rRNA". It matches the Rfam family "Bacterial small subunit ribosomal RNA", at positions 94 to 788 of the family's 1533-position model. The record is from RNAcentral.